CAGUCGCCACGGGAAUACGUAGGGUGCAAGCGUUAAUCGGAAUUACUGGGCGUAAAGCGUGCGCAGGCGGUUUGUUAAGACAGAUGUGAAAUCCCCGGGCUCAACCUGGGAACUGCAUUUGUGACUGGCAAGCUAGAGUGUGGCAGAGGGGGGUGGAAUUCCGCGUGUAACAGUGAAAUGCGUAGAUAUGCGGAGGAACAUCGAUGGCGAAGGCAGCCCCCUGGGCCAACACUGACGCUCAUGCACGAAAGCGUGGGGAGCAAACAGGAUUAGAUACCCCCGUAGUCCCUGUCUCUUAUAA
RNAcentral lists this ribosomal RNA (301 nucleotides) under uncultured bacterium. Its description in RNAcentral is "partial 16S ribosomal RNA". It matches the Rfam family "Bacterial small subunit ribosomal RNA", at positions 509 to 809 of the family's 1533-position model. The record is from RNAcentral.